RNAcentral lists this ribosomal RNA (399 nucleotides) under uncultured bacterium. RNAcentral's name for it is "bacterial SSU rRNA". It matches the Rfam family "Bacterial small subunit ribosomal RNA", at positions 29 to 452 of the family's 1533-position model. The record is from RNAcentral.
AACGAACGCUGGCGGCAUGCCUAACACAUGCAAGUCGAACGAGACCUUCGGGUCUAGUGGCGCACGGGUGCGUAACGCGUGGGAAUCUGCCCUUUGCUUCGGAAUAACAGUUAGAAAUGACUGCUAAUACCGGAUGAUGUCUUCGGACCAAAGAUUUAUCGGCAAAGGAUGAGCCCGCGUAGGAUUAGGUAGUUGGUGGGGUAAAGGCCUACCAAGCCGACGAUCCUUAGCUGGUCUGAGAGGAUGAUCAGCCACACUGGGACUGAGACACGGCCCAGACUCCUACGGGAGGCAGCAGUGGGGAAUAUUGGACAAUGGGCGAAAGCCUGAUCCAGCAAUGCCGCGUGAGUGAUGAAGGGCCCUUCGGGUCGUUAAAGCUCUUUUACCAGGGAUGAUAAU